This is a long non-coding RNA of Phyllostomus discolor (pale spear-nosed bat), 366 nucleotides long. RefSeq lists it as uncharacterized. The record is from RefSeq and is a predicted model, not a curated record. Lineage: Eukaryota; Metazoa; Chordata; Mammalia; Chiroptera; Phyllostomidae. The transcript has 2 exons.
GUUCAACCAUCUUUUUUUUCUCUGUGUGCAUAUCAUUGUUGUGGUAAAAGAUACAUAACAUAAAAUUUACCAUCUUAACCUUUUUUACAUGUACAGUCCAGUGCACCAGUGGUGUUAAGUAGUCUCAUGCUGUUGUGAAACAGAUCUCCAGAGGUUUUUCAUGUUGCACAAGUAAAACUCCAGGCCCACUAAACAACAGCUUCCCUUUGGCCCACCCCCCAGCCCCUGGCAACCACCAUCCCGCUUUCCAUCUCCAUGAAUUCAACUCCUCUACAUAUUUCAGCUCAUGUGAUUGUAUUGGACCCACCCAGAUCAUCCUAUGAGGGACAGCCGAUUAUAUCUGCAAAGUCCCUUUUGCCAUGUAAG